This 261-nucleotide ribosomal RNA is filed under the name uncultured Chloroflexota bacterium. RNAcentral's name for it is "uncultured Chloroflexi bacterium partial 16S ribosomal RNA". It matches the Rfam family "Bacterial small subunit ribosomal RNA", at positions 28 to 314 of the family's 1533-position model. The record is from RNAcentral. Lineage: Bacteria; Bacillati; Chloroflexota.
GAUAAACGCUGGCGGCGUGCCUAACACAUGCAAGUCGAACGAUCCCGCAAGGGAGAGUGGCGGAAGGGUGAGUAACACGUAGGAAUCUACCCCGACGGAGGGAACAACCUAUCGAAAGAUGGGCUAAUACCCAAAAGGAUCCGUAAUGAUCAGAGUCGAAAGGCCUGUCGGGAUGAGCCUGCGGCGCAUCAGCUAGUUGGUGAGGUAAAAGCUUACCAAGGCUACGACGCGUAGGGGGUCUGAGAGGACGUCCCCCACACU